Molecule: unclassified non-coding RNA, 303 nt
Filed under: uncultured fungus
Lineage: Eukaryota; Fungi
Description: partial contains small subunit ribosomal RNA, internal transcribed spacer 1, and 5.8S ribosomal RNA
Rfam family: Eukaryotic small subunit ribosomal RNA (bases 1-73)
Source: RNAcentral
GCAAACUUGGUCAUUUAGAGGAAGUAAAAGUCGUAACAAGGUCUCCGUUGGUGAACCAGCGGAGGGAUCAUUACAGAGUUGUUUUCAAACUCCCAAAACCCAUGUGAACAUACCUCAUGUUGCCUCGGCAGGGCCGCGCCCGAGAAGAAAGCGCCCCGCACUCCGGUGCGGGGGGCCGGGGGCGGUUCUGCCGGCGGCCCACGAAACUUCGUUCUGCCGUGAAAUUCUGAAAUACGAACCUAAAAGCAAGUUAAAACUUUCAACAACGGAUCUCUUGGUUCUGGCAUCGAUGAAGAACGCAGC